UCCUACGGGAGGCAGCAGUGGGGAAUAUUGGUCAAUGGGCGCAAGCCUGAACCAGCAAUGCCGCGUGAGUGAUGAAGGCCUUCGGGUUGUAAAGCUCUGUCGGGGGGGAAGAAAAAGCCUGUUUCAUCGCAGGUCUUGACGGUACCCUCAAAGGAAGCACCGGCUAACUCUGUGCCAGCAGCCGCGGUAAUACAGAGGGUGCAAGCGUUGUUCGGAAUUACUGGGCGUAAAGCGCGUGUAGGCUGCUGCGUAAGUCAGAUGUGAAAGCCCUCGGCUUAACCGAGGAAGUGCAUCUGAUACUGCGCAGCUCGAGUGCCGGAGGGGAUGGCGGAAUUCCCGGUGUAGAGGUGAAAUUCGUAGAUAUCGGGAGGAACACCUGUGGCGAAGGCGGCCAUCUGGACGGUGACUGACGCUGAGACGCGAAAGCGUGGGUAGCAAACAGGAUUAGAUACCCCUGUAGUC
RNAcentral lists this ribosomal RNA (462 nucleotides) under uncultured soil bacterium. RNAcentral's name for it is "bacterial SSU rRNA". It matches the Rfam family "Bacterial small subunit ribosomal RNA", at positions 337 to 795 of the family's 1533-position model. The record is from RNAcentral.